UACGAGGGGGGCAAGCGUUGUUCGGAAUUAUUGGGCGUAAAGGGCGCGUAGGCGGUGCGGUAAGUCACCUGUGAAACCUCUGGGCUUAACUCAGAGCCUGCAGGCGAAACUGCCGUGCUGGAGUAUGGGAGAGGUGCGUGGAAUUCCCGGUGUAGCGGUGAAAUGCGUAGAGAUGUGGAGGAACACCAGUGGCGAAGGCGGCUUUUUGGUCUGUAACUGACGCUGAGGCGCGAAAGCGUGGGGAGCAAACAGG
Molecule: ribosomal RNA, 253 nt
Filed under: uncultured bacterium
Lineage: Bacteria
Description: partial 16S ribosomal RNA
Rfam family: Bacterial small subunit ribosomal RNA
Source: RNAcentral